RNAcentral lists this long non-coding RNA (202 nucleotides) under Homo sapiens (human). Its description in RNAcentral is "non-protein coding lnc-FAM45A-3:1". Lineage: Eukaryota; Metazoa; Chordata; Mammalia; Primates; Hominidae. The record is from RNAcentral.
UUCAGAAAGUGUCGCAAUAAGAUGCACACAUUGAGCCUCUGCUGUGGCUCUAGACCUACUACCUCAAAAGUUGACCUGUGGCAAAUGUGGCUACUCGGCCAAGCACAAGAGAAAGUAUAAUUGGAGCUCCAGGGAUAAAAGACAAAAAAAAAAAAAAAACACUAGGACCAGUUCAAUUAUGCACCUAAAAAUUGUAUACAGG